GUGGAGGAAGGUCCUUUUACUGGAGGGGGUGGGGAUGACGUCAAAUCAUCAUGCCCCUUAUGACCUGGGCUACACACGUGCUACAAUGGACGGUACAAAGAGCUGCAAGACCGCGAGGUGGAGCUAAUCUCAUAAAACCGUUCUCAGUUCGGAUUGUAGGCUGCAACUCGCCUACAUGAAGCUGGAAUCGCUAGUAAUCGCGGAUCAGCAUGCCGCGGUGAAUACGUUCCCGGGCCUUGUACACACCGCCCGUCACACCACGAGAGUUUGGACCCCCGAAGUCGGUAGGUACCCUCUGAC
RNAcentral lists this ribosomal RNA (300 nucleotides) under Bacillus cereus. RNAcentral describes it as "bacterial SSU rRNA". It matches the Rfam family "Bacterial small subunit ribosomal RNA", at positions 1140 to 1457 of the family's 1533-position model. Lineage: Bacteria; Bacillati; Bacillota; Bacilli; Caryophanales; Bacillaceae. The record is from RNAcentral.